Molecule: long non-coding RNA, 3249 nt
Organism: Fukomys damarensis (Damara mole-rat)
Lineage: Eukaryota; Metazoa; Chordata; Mammalia; Rodentia; Bathyergidae
Exons: 3
Source: RefSeq, a predicted model, not a curated record
CUAAAUCCCCGGCACAUGAUAUAUAUUGUGAUUUAAAAUACAUUUGAACUUACUAUGUCAUUUCCUUAUAUGUUUUUCAUUAACCUUGUUUUCUUUCCUCCUUUUUCUCUUCUCUGUCUUCUCCUGUUGGCUAUAUAUGUUCUACACAGGUUUUGAAAUAUAUGCAACCUUUGCUGGCUUGGAAGUUUUGGACUGUAUCUCAAUUUUGGUGGCACAUUUAAUUUUCAAUCACUUUAAAAGAUGUAUGUAUUUAUUUUUUUCUGUCAGGGAUCAAGCCUAGGCCCUCAUGAUACUAUGCAAAUUUUCUACCAUCCCCAGCACUAAGAUUCCUUCUUUGUCCUUGAUCCUAUGCGAAUCAAUGAUAGAGCCUUAUAUAUUAAUAAUGAUAUAUAAUACUUGAUAUCAAUAAGUAUAUUAAUCCAUGCUGUCUGAUCAUGGAGUAUAUUUUUGAUCGGAGGACCUAUAACUCUCAAGUUCUUGAAAAAUCCCUUGAUUUCCCUAGUACCUAUGGUUUCUGGGGCGUUUCCUCCUUUCUCUUUCCGGAAGUUUUAUUAGGUACAAGUUGGGAGAGGGGCCAGUAUGGUGGCAGUGGGGACGGAGCACAAGGUUGGCGGGCGACACAUUCAGAGCACAGCCUGCGAUGCUGGAUGCGGUGACCCUUAAUCACGAUAGGGCAGCUGGAAUGGAUUAGGAAAGCCCGGCAGGUUAGUAGAGCCCAGUUCUGGGCGUGUCUGAGAAUGACUGAGGUGGGGGCCAGCCGGGUGGCACCAACCAAUAGGCUUGAAGCCUGGACGGAAUAGAAAGGGAAAGCAGAAGGAAGUCUUUCUGCUUUUAUAGAGCUCUAGUUCUUGAGUGGGUCCAUCCUUUGCUUUCAUCGCCUCUGGACAUCCGUCUUCCGGAACCCAGUUUCUUCAGCCUUGUGACACAGAUGCCGGUGGCCCUUCAGGGAGCUUCAGGGUCUUGGACCUUGGACUGGUGCUGUGUCCUUGGUCCCUCUUGCUCUGGAGCUCCCCGCUUCUUGGGUGGAGAUCCUCCGGCUCUCCAGUAGGGGGCGGCCACUGUGCAAUUCCCGCUUCUAGUCAGGUAAGUGACCUAAUAAAUCCGCCUGUAUAGUUACACAUGUUUUCUAUUGAUUCUGUCCCUCUAGAGCAGCUGACUAAUACAGGACGACAUAGAGCAGGAUGCUGGUGGCGAGAGUCCUGGGCUCAGCUGCUACUAAGAGGAAAGGAGGUGUGGGUGCAGGUCUUUGUCACACCUGUCCUUCUCUAGAGUGCUGGGAUGGCCGCAUUGAUGUGAAUGUGAGCAGCUGCAUGGGGCUAGGAUGAUGCAGGCUUAGAGAGUGACGCUGGCCUCAUGCAUACAAUAAACCAGUGUCGACUGAGCUCCAGCCGUGUGCUGCCUGCGUAGAGGCUGGGACUGUGGCCAUGGACCACGCUGGCAAGAGCUUGCUCCCAUGGAGAUGGAAAAAGUUGAAUUCAUGAAUAAGGUAACUGCAGAGAGCGGUAAGAGAUGUGGAGGACAAAAGACCCAGAGACAAGCUGUCUUCAGUGAUGGGGUGAAUAGUGCAGCCUGAGAGGGAAGGGGAGGCUUCCAUGGGAGGUGACACAGUGGAGGGACAAGGAGGAGACAGACAGACCUGGCCAAAAGUGUCCCAAGGAGUGGGACCAACACCGGGACAGGCCAGUGCGGCAUUGCACCUGCUGGUAUAUUUCAGAUCCCUACUUCCAUUACUGCAAAGACAAGAAAUGGCUCCCUUUAUCUCCAAAACUUUCCAGUAUUUCUAAAGUUCCUGACCCAUGCAGAGAAAUUCCUUUCUGUCCACUUCAGUAGAUUUUGUUAUAUUGUUUUCCCUCCGGGUGGAACACAUCUGUUCAUUAAGUUUUGUAUAUUGGAGGCUUUGCCCUCAGAUUAGUUUAUUAUGUGCCACGGGAGAGUGAGGCCCAGAAGCUUCAGAGAAAGACAUAUAUUGUUGUCUCCUUUGCCCCUUUCUCUCCCGCUUCCCUCCUCCCCACUCUCCCUCAGACUCAGCCUCCCAGAGUGCUGGGAUUGCAGGCAUGCACCAUCACGCCCAGCUGUAUUUCUGGUUUUUGAGGUUAGAAGCCCGAGAUUGAGGUGUUGGCAGGUCGAUUUCUCCAGACUCCUCUAUCCUGGGGUUGUUGAUGGUUGGCUCUCCCCUGUGCCGGCACACGCUCCUCCUGGUCCAUCUGCCUGGGUCCACAUCUCCCUCUUGUAGUUUUGCACCAGUCGUACUGGAUUCGAGUGUGCCCUAAUGACCUUAUUUUCACUUAAUUACCUCUGCAACAGCCUUAUCACCAAAUAUGGUCGCAUUUCAGGAUACCAGAGUUUAGGACUUCAAGAUACCAAUUUUGGGGCGAUGUAAUUCAGCUCACAACAGCCUCAAACAAAUGGGUUUUUAAUGUACAUCUCUAAAAGUGAGUUCAGUGGCGUGGAACUUCAGCUGCUCGAUCUUACAGCUUUCAACACUUCUGCGAGGUAACGUCUUCCUUAAAGCACUUUACAGCUGCAGAUGGUAUUCUCAGGGAUCAAACUCAGGUCUUUGCACUUGCAAGGCAGGCGGAGGAACGACUGAGCGAGCUAAAUCCCCGGCCCAAUGCAGAUGGUAUUCUGCAGGCAGGAGAGGUUGUCAUUUCAGCGAGUCACAGGGAUAAAUUCCUUUUGGCUUUCCCUGCUGCUUGCUAGCUAGCACUUAAGUCAGGUAAAAAGUACUCUUCACCCAAAUUCUUCCUGCAGACACUGGCUCCUUGCUUUUGAGAGCCUCUUUAUCUCCUUGGACAGUUUGCAGAGAAAGACCUGGCAGGAAACAGGCUGAUGAUGCCCAGCCAUCGCAGCACCUACGAGCUAUUGAAUUUGGCAAAGGCGGAUUUUAGCAUUUCCGAGUCAGGAUGACUUGUUUAUUUAUUUAUAUCAUGGUUUAAAAAACCCCAUGUAACACCUUUUCCCUUUUUCCCUUUUCACGGUGCUGGCGAUGGAACUCCUUGAUAAAGCAAGCACUAACCACUGAGCUACGACUCCCGCUCAUAAGUCAAAAUGGCCGUGGAAGGUAAAUGCUUUGAAUCGAUUCAGCACAUCGAGGCACCCAGGACAGCACAACUGAAGACACCCUCGAAAGAGGACUUCCGGAGCUGCUUCAGAAAGCUGCAAGAAUGAUGGGAGAAAUGCUCUUGAAGUGAGGGGGAGGUGUCUAGGGGAUUGAUGUCGGUGAGACUUUAAUUAUAAUAAAUUAAAAAU